CGAUCCGUCAGCAGGCGGCGUCCUCCGUCUGGGUGCCUGCAGACAAACCGGUGGCCGGGUUUUCCGGCGCCGGCCCUCCGACGCUCAAGUCAGGGAGGGGGCAGAUAGCGUAAGGAGGAGAUGAACAGUGCUUGUAAGGCGCGGAAUUUCCCAACCCCCUCCUGAGAAGCUAAGGCUCCCUUUUAUAGGUGGGGGUCGGUUUACCUGUGAUGUAACAGGGCGAGGCCAUAGUACGGCUCGGCAUGUGGCUCAGGUCGGCG
This 260-nucleotide long non-coding RNA is filed under the name Phoenix dactylifera (date palm). RNAcentral describes it as "long non-coding RNA (PDAC_LNC015168)". The record is from RNAcentral. Lineage: Eukaryota; Viridiplantae; Streptophyta; Magnoliopsida; Arecales; Arecaceae.